Molecule: long non-coding RNA, 7220 nt
Filed under: Homo sapiens (human)
Lineage: Eukaryota; Metazoa; Chordata; Mammalia; Primates; Hominidae
Description: non-protein coding GABPB1-AS1:13
Source: RNAcentral
AGGGGCGUCUGGGCAUGGCUUUCCCAACCUAGUAACUGCAACUUUUAGCAUCCUACAUGUAGGACUUGGGAAUAUGUGAGACAGCGCCAAGAAUUUAAUCCAGGAGAAUUGACAAGCUUAAAUGAAAUCCAUAUUGCCCACUGAUUUUGUGCAGCUUCAGAUAAGUAAUCUUUCUCCACUUAGCCUUUUGUAACAAUUGAUGUAAUAAAGGUUUGUAGUCUUUGUGUAAUUUAUUAAAGCAUUGUGCCUAAAAUAGAAAAAAAGCAUAGGAACCAUAGGCUGUGUUUUCUUUUGAUUUAAUAUUUUCAUUUCUUCAGUUAAUAGAAAUUUGCCAAAUUCUGAUCUUUCUCAUAACUAAGCAUUUGAAAUCUGGUGUGUAUUUUAUACUUAUAGCAUAUCUCAGUACUUGAUUUCAUAAAAUUUCCAGCUGAAAAAAUAGAUUCACGUACCCAAGUCGUUCCAAGCAUACUUAAAAGUUUUACGGUAAUCGAAUCGUGUAUAUUUUUAAAUUUUAUUUUAAAUUAAAGUUAGGAUUAUGAAUUCAGUUCCUAAAUUAGCCUCAUUUCACUUCUGCAUUUCAAGUGGGACAAGUUAUUACCAUAUUGGACAAUGCAGUCUAGUGAAGUAGAGGAUAGUGGAAAGUCAGACUUAAAAAGUUGUUUAGAACCAGCUCUGGAAGGCCUUGGAUGUCAGAUUAAAGGACUGAGAUUUUACCCUUGAGUCAGGCAGAAUAAUGGAUGGUUUUUGAACUAAGGAGUGACACAAGGUUGUGCUUAUGACUAGAAGGAGGCCACUAGGUGGCCAGCUGGUGAGUCAGGACACCCUUCAGUUGCUUUGACUUCAGCCCUGUGGAUUCAAAGUCUGAUUUUUGUCAGCGCUCUAGAGCAGUCUCACCAAAAGUGUGGUCCACAAGGCAGUGCCAGUCUGUAAGCCCUUUGUUACACAUCCAUGUCAAGGCAUUUACAGAAAGUAAGAAUUUAGAAACUUAUAGCAGUUUAACAGACUAAUUUUAUUUCUGUGGGUCUAAUAAAAAUUUGAGGGAUUGUACUUUGCAUAUUCUUUAUUUCCCUUUUUUUGUUUGUUUAUCAUAUUACAUAAAAGUACCUAUGGUCUCACAGAUGAAGGGAGUCAGAAGAACCAAACUCCCAGAAGACAUAUAAAUCUAAAUGCCUUUUUUACUUUAGAGUGAAAACUGUAAUAGCUAAAUUAUAAUGGACAUCUGCUCAUUUUCUCCCUCCAUGUAGACAUGGAAAGCUACACGGAAAUAACCGAGUUUAUAGUAGCUACCAUAUAUUAAACGUUUCCUGUAUGCCAGCCACUGUGCAAAGCAUAUUAUAUAUAUUGUCUCAUUUAAUCCUCACAACUCUGUAAAAUAAGUAUUGUUUGCCCCAUUUUUCCAAUGAAGAAACCGAGGCUAAAAUAGGUUGAAUAACUUACCUAAAUUCACCAUCCUCAAAGGUGUUAAAGACAGGAUUCCAGUACAGGUCUCUCAUUUCCUUCAUGAUUAGGAAUACUACUUUGAAAUGAGAGACCUGUACUGUAUCUGUUAAUUCCAAAUUCCCUGGCAUAAAGACUCAGUACAUUGUUUAAAGAGAAUGCAUGAAGUUAACUGCAUUACCUUUUGGAGGGUUCAUUUGUGAAUUUGGGGCCAAAGUAAGGGGAGUUACUGGUAUUCUAAUAGCAUCAAACAAAUGAAUUCAUUUCAUCUUUUGGGGAGGUGGAGGGAAUAAGGUCUCACCUUGUCGCCCAUGCAGGCUGGAAGGCCGUGAUGUGAUCUCAGCUCACUGCAGCCUCAACCUGGGCUCAAGCGAUCCUCCCACCUCAGCCUCCUGAGUAGCUGGGACUACAGGUGCACACCACCACGCCCAGCUCAUUUUUGUAUGUUUUGUAGAGACUGUGUUUUGCCACGUUGCCCAGGCGAACUCCUGAGCUCAAGCGAGACACCCACCUUGACCUCCCAAAGUGUUGGGAUUACAGACAUUAGCCACCACGCCUGGCCUGUAAACAGGAAUAACUUUCUUGCUGUGUGAUUCAAUGUUAUUUACUGCUUUGUUCAUGUACUGCCUAUGUUGAUUAUCACCAGUGGUAUGGAUCCUGCACAUUGGGAAACACUGCAGUGUUAUUUAAUUUUGUUCACUGUGUUUACAGUGCAGUUUUAGUCACCUGAAAUUCUAAGAGAAAAGAUCAAUAUGGUUUUGCCAAUCAAAGGUCAUUAAUACUUGGAAUGAAAGAUAACUUAUCCUGGUGAUGAACACAUGCCUUUUGAAAAGCAUCAGUAUCUCCUUAAAAUGUAUAAACUACUGUAAUCAAUGAGGAAGACUUUUUCUUAUCAGAUUUAUUAAACUCAUUUACCAUACAAAUAGCAUUAUAACAUUAAAGAAAAUUUUUUAAAAAUUCUGUACCAUAAAACAAUUACUGGUUCCUUCCUACCUGUUUUUAGGUUUGCAGAUGAAUAAUGUGUGGAUUUUUGGCAGACACACUGCUGAAAAUUUUUCACUUUGUUGGGUGAGCAUCUCACCCUAUCUCCAUUUGUCUCCCUGCUCGUGAGUUCUAGAGAAGACCACCAGUAAGCAAGUGAAAUUCUUUGGCCAAGUCACUGAUAUCAGAAUUCCCCAGAGGCACCAAGAACUUUGAUUUCCAGAAAUUGUUUAGGCACAGCCACUCAUUCAACCUUAUAUUUUGUAUCUCAGAGUUAAGGUUGCAUUUGGGCUACCUAGCCUGUAGACUCUAUUUUAAGACAAGCAGGCAUUUAAUAGUUGUGGGCAAAUGUGCAAGCUUAGUAGAAUCUAAAAGGAUACUUCAGCCUUUGUUUGAGUUGCAGAAAAUUAACAUGGUAAGGAGGAAAAAAUCACUAAUUUUUUUAAAAAGUUCCCUGAUACAGGAACUGAAAAUGAUUUUUGACCAACCUGGGCAAUAGAGCAAAAUCCCAUCUCUACAAAAAAAUACAAAAAUUAGUCGGGCAUGGUGGUGCUGCCUGUAGUGACGGCUACUCAUCCUGAGGUGGGAAGAUUGCUUGAGGCCAGGAGGUUGAGGCUGCAGUGAGCCAGGAUCACACCACUGCACCAGCCUGGGCUACAGAGUAAGACUCAAGAAAAAAAAAAGAUGUUUAAUUAAUCUUGCUUCAGUGCUGAGGUGGUACAGGGAGGGAGAAAGGGAUAUUGGGCUAUGAAUUCCAUCUAAACUGGGGAUUUUUAUCAGGGUGUGAAGAAAGAUUUUCAGGAAUAAUUAUCUGAGUUACUUGGAGUAAAAGUAGCAGGAGGAGGAAAAGAGAUAUGGCCUGUGGGUCUCUGACUUGCCAAACUUCUUAUUCAUUUUACAAAUCAUGAUUUCUAGAGCAUCUUAAUCUUUGAGGCCCAGCUGCUUGGAAGUUGCAUAAUCUCUAUACUUCAGUUCCCCCCUAUAAAAUGGGGAAUAUGAUAGAAUCUACCUUGUAUUUGAGAGGACUAAAUAAAUAUAAAGUGCUUAGAAAAGUAAGGACUCAACUACUAGUAAUAAUUAUUUUGACAUGUUUAAGUAAUCAGUACUAUCUGGAAAACUGUGCUAAUAGUGCCUGAUCUACACAAAUUUAAGUGACUAUACCCCUUUUUUGAGUCAGAGUCUCACUACGUUACCCAGGCUGGAGUACAGUGGUACGAAAACUCUGGACUUCAAGUGAUCACCUGCCUCAGCCUUCUAAGGUGCUAGGAUUAUAGGCUUGAGCCACUGCAGCCACCACUCUGUAUAUCUCUUUUGAAAGUCAUAAGCAAUAUCUUUGGAAAAAACACUUAAGGUUAUUUAUUUAGAGGUAGUGUCUCUCUGUACCCCAGCUGGAGUACAGUGGCACAGUAUCACAGCUUGCUGCAGCAUCAAAUUCCUAGGCUCAAGCCAUCCUUCCACCGGACAUGUUGGCGUGCACCUCCUGAGUAGCUGGGACUACAGUUGUGCUCUACCACACCGGGCUAAUUUUUGUAUUUUUUAGUAGAGACAGGGUUUUGCCAUGUUAGACAGGCUGGUCUGGAACACCUGACCUCCGGUGAUCUGCCCACCUCAGUCUCCCAAAGGGCUGGGAUUAAAGGCAUGAGCCACCGCACUCAGCCACUUAAGGCUUUUAAAAAAUCAAUUAAUUUCUAAAUGGUUUUGGACUUUUGACUCCUUAUAAGUGUUAAGAUAUUUUGGUAUCACUUUUUUCCUUCCAAAAAAAAAAAAAAAACCAGGAGUUUGCAGUGAGCCAAGAUAGUGCCAUCGCACUCCAGCCUGGACAACAGAGCGAGACUCCAUCUAAAAAAAAAAAAAAAAAAAAAAAAAACUCAGUUUUUGGUUUUGAAAAUGUCAUGAUACCUGUUGAGAUAACUGCUGAAUAGAUGGGUAAUACACAGUCUAGGGCAUGGUAUCAAAAGAACUUGUCACUGUACAUAUCGGAAAUGGUAAAAAUAUGUUUUGCCGUUUUCACGAAUUCAUUCAUUUUUCAUGUUUCAUGAAUUCAUUCUUUUUAAAAAAAAAAAAUCCUGCUAAUUCUCUGUUUCUCUUGCUUUUCUCCUUUAUGACUAAGUUUUCCUCAUUAUGGGUUACCCCACAUUACUGCUUACGAAGACAUCUCUUUAGUCAGAAAACAGUAGCUUGGUUCAGUUCUAGCUUCAUUGUUAAGCUCAUAGGUAAAUCUGGCAAAUGGCUAGAAACAGUCACAUGUUUGCUUGUCCUUAAUGCUCUCACCUUUUCCCAGCUAUUUGGAUGUAUAUACUUUUGCUUACUUUGUAGUGUACCAACUUAAUAUAUGUUAUAGACUAAAUGUUUAUGUCCUCCCAAACUUCAUAUUUUGGAAGCCAGACAUGGUAACUCACACCUGUAAACCUAACACUUUGGGAGGCCUAGGUGGGAGGAUUGCUUGAGUCCGGGAUCCCUGCUACUCGGGAGGCUGAGGCAAGAGAAUCUCUUGAACCCAGGGGGUGGAGGUUGCACUGAGCCGAGAUCAUGCCAUUGUACUUCACCUGGGCAACAAGAGGGAAACUGUCUCCAAAAAAAAAAAAUUUGGAGGGCUGGGCACGGUGGCUCACACCUGUAAUCCCAGCACUUUGGGAGGCCAAGGCGGUGGAUCACAAAGUCAGGAGUUCAAGACCAGCCUGGCCAACAUAGUGAAACCCUGUCUCUACUAAAAAUACAAAAAUUAGCCAGGCAUGGUGGCACACGCCUGUAGUCCCAGCUACUGGGGAGGCUGAGGCAGGAGAAUUGCUUUGAACCCGGGAGGCAGAGGUUGUGAGCUGAGAUCGCGUCAGUACACUCCAGCCUGGGCAACAAUGCGAGAUUGCAUCUCAAAAAAAUAAAUAAAUAUUUGGAGUCCCAUAAUAAAUAAAUAUUUGGAGUCCAAUGUGAUAGUAUCUGGAGAUGGGGCCUUUGGAGGUAAUAUGGGUUAGAUAGGUCAUGACGGUAGGGCCCUCAUUAUGGGAUUAGUGGCGUUAUAAGAAGAAGAGAGAAAUCUUCCUCCUCAAGAGCAGAGGAAAAGCCAUAUAAGAAUACAGUGAGACGGCCACUUCCAAACCAGAAAGGGAGCCCCCACCAGGAACCAAAUUGGCUGGCACCUUGAUCUUGGACUUCCCAUGCUCCAGAACUGUGAGAAAUAAAUUUCUAUUAUUUAAGCCCAUGGUAGUUUUAUGGCAUCCUAAGCUAAGACAGCGCGUCUCUAGUUUCCCACAGAUUCAUAAAGGUCCAUACAAAAAUGUUAUAACUGUUAAUAGUGUCCUGUCCUUGAAUUUAACAGCAACCAACAUAUUGUUUGCAUAGUUCUUGCACCAUUUGGAAACAGUGACCUUUAGGUGUUGCAGGUAACUAUUGGGAAAUCCUUCAAUUUGUUUAACAUUUCCAUAUUUUGAUUUGCAUCUUGGGAGUUGCUUGGAAUUUGGGAUCCUCUUCUGUCUCUUGAGUUGAAAUCAGAGGCUGCUUGCCGGGCCAAGAUCACGCCACUGCACUCCAACCUGGGGCAACAGAGUGAGACUCUGUCUCAAAAAAAAAAAAAAGAAAUCAGAGAUAAUAUAAAUGCAGGUGUAAACUCAUACACUUAAUGGGCUAUAAGUUUUGGAACUGGCUGUGAUAAUAUAACAAAAGUAAUAAUGGGCUGUAAGUGGUAUUAAAUGUGGGAUUAACUGGAUAUUUAAUGAUACCAAGGAAUCAUUAAUUUUGUUUGGCUGUGAUGUUUUAUUAUUAGAAUGAUGUUAUGAUUAAAUUUUAUUUUUGUCUGGAUACAGUGGCUCACACCUGUAAUCCCAGUGCUUUGGGAGGCCGAGGCAGAUGGAUCACUUGAGGCCAGGAGUUCCAGACCAGCCUGGCCAACACGGCGAAACCCCAUCUCUACUAAAAAUACAAAAAAUUAGCCAGGCCUGGUGGUGCACGCUUGUAAUCCCAGGUACUUGGGAGGCUAAGGCAGGAGGAUCACUUGAACCCAGGGGAGGCUGCAGUGAGCUGAGAUCGUGCCACUGCACUCCAGCUUGGGCAACAGAGCAAGACUCCAUCUUAAAAAGAAGAAAGAAAGAACUUCUAUUUUUUAAAUGUUUUUUCCUUUCAUUGAACUCCAUUUAUAGCCUUUCCAUUCAGAGCAUAAAGAUUAAAUUUUAAAACAAGGCUUGGCACCCUGGCUUAUGCCUGUAAUCCCAGCACUUUGUGAGGCCAAGGUGGGCGGAUCACCUGAGCUCAGAAGUUUGAGUCCAGCCUGGCUAACAUGGUGAAACCCCAUCUCUAAAAGAGUACACAGUCCUAGAGCAGUGGUGUGCGCCUGUAGUCCUAGCUACCUGGGAGGCUGAACCAGGAGAAUUGCUUGAGCCUGGGAGGCAGAGGUUGCAGUGAGCCAAGAUCGCACCAUUACACUCCAGCCUGGGUGACAGAGAGAGACCCUGUGCCCCUCAAAAAAAUGUUUUUUUUAAACAAGAAUCUCUCAGGCAUACUGAAAUGUUGAAGAGGAAAUUAUAUUAAUAUCUGGGACUUGUUUCCAAAUUUGGAAUUGGGGCAGGGUGUAAAUUGUUGGCAAUAUCAAAGAAACGAGGAGUUGGAAUGAUAAUUGUAGAAGCUGCAUGAUAGAUACACAUUCUUUAUACUUCUGUAUAUGUUGAAAUUUUUUAUCAAAUUAUAAUUGUGUAUAAUGACUAAUUAUGCUUUCAUUGUCUAUUCUGUGUGGUUAUGUUACUUGCUGAAAUUAAUACAUAAAGAGUCUUCAACUUAAAUGACUUAUCAAGCAUAAAUAUUAAAAUACUGGAUGU